UGUAGAAGUGAUGAGUUGUGAUUACCGCCCCAGUCUGAUGUCAGGUGACUGAGUGGUACCCCUCUGAUCUACG
Small nucleolar RNA from Conger conger (European conger), 73 nucleotides. The record is from RefSeq and is a predicted model, not a curated record. NCBI's taxonomy places the organism in Eukaryota, Metazoa, Chordata, Actinopteri, Anguilliformes, Congridae.